GACCGAGGCACAGCGGGAGCUGAGCCCGAUCGAGACCAAGCUCUCGGAGCUGGUCAAUCGGAAGAUGGCAAUCGAGGAUCGCCUGUCGCGCACGGACAUCCGUGCUCCGAUCUCCGGGAGGGUCAACGAGCUGAAGAUCCAUACGGUGGGCGGUGUCAUCACUCCCGCGGAGGUCCUGGCCACCAUCGUUCCGGGCAAUGCCCGACUGAAGAUCGAGGUGAAGAUUCCUCCCGUCAACAUCGAUCAGAUCGCCGUCGGUCGGCCUGCGCGGCUGCGGUUCUCGACGUUCAACCAGCGAACGACCCCGGAGCUGAUGGGCGAGCUGGUCUAUGUAUCGCCGGCGACUUCGCGGGAUGCCAGCAACGGGCAGACCUACUAUGUCGGCCA
RNAcentral lists this unclassified non-coding RNA (387 nucleotides) under plant metagenome. RNAcentral's name for it is "partial contains 5.8S ribosomal RNA, internal transcribed spacer 2, and large subunit ribosomal RNA". The record is from RNAcentral.